Molecule: long non-coding RNA, 1249 nt
Filed under: Fragaria vesca (wild strawberry)
Lineage: Eukaryota; Viridiplantae; Streptophyta; Magnoliopsida; Rosales; Rosaceae
Description: long non-coding RNA (FVES_LNC003970)
Source: RNAcentral
ACGACAGAAAACUGACGUAUUUGAGAGACAAAUUUAACCAUAUCGAUCGAGACCUUUUUUUUCUUCGUAAAAGUAGAUAGUUUUUUUUGACACUUAAAAGCUUAUUCUCAUUAACUACCCCGAUAGUACACUUUAACCUAUCUGGCAGCUGCCUCACUCUUUUCUCAUUCAAUUCUCUCUACCAGCCUCACUCUUAAUCUCUCUCUGUGUCCCAGCCUCAUUCUUUCGAUCCGAACACCCAGCCUCACUCUUUCUCUCUGAAAGAUGAAUACCGAUCUCAACACCCUCCAUCCCCCGCCAUAGAUUGAUGCGAAACUUCUUUCUAAGGUUUUUUGCUAUUUUCUGGUAAGUUUCUUUCUACGAAAUUUUGGAUUUUAGGUUUCGCUGGGUUGGGUUUUGCUUGGUUGAUAUAGAGUUUUGCUUGGAUUUCCCUGAUUUAGGGUUUGCCCAAAUUGGAGCCGCGAGUCGGUCGCUCGGUCUUUCUCAGUUCUGCAGUAUUUCUAAAAUCUCGGCGUCGCUUCAAAUCAAAUUAGUGAGCGCUUCAUAUCUAUAUGUUGCUUUUGCAUUUCAGCAAUCUGUGAUAUAUAGUCUCUACAUCAGUAUACACCGUGUCUUAGAUUUUCACAAUUUUGGUUUGAUAUGAGUCUGGCAUUUUGUUGAUGUACGUGAUGGUUAGUGAAGUAUGUAGAGUUGUGAUGACUUUGGUAAAGUAUUAGUAAAGUCAAGUUUGCAGUACGUAGUGUGAUCCAUUUCUUGGUGGAGAGGUCACCUGAUGACUUUUACAGUGGUCAUCAGUGGAAUCCAUAAAUAGGUAUACAAUAUCCCUUUAAUUUUUAAGCAGCAUGAGUGUUGUAGAUGGUGAUGAGUUAGAAAUCUAUCUCUGUUAGUAGAAUGAAAGCCUUUUUGAGGCAUUUUAUCGAAUUAUUUUUGUUGAAAACACGAUUGCAUGGAAAAAAAAUGUUAAUUAGAAAGCAUAUGUGCUUGUUUACAGGGUUAGCUGGGUUUAGUCAUAGCACGAGGGAUUGAGAGAGAUGAGAUUAUGUCUCUCAGUCUCUGUACGUUUUCAUAGGUUAUUAGUGAAGAAAAGUUCAAAACUUACAUAACUAAUUAAUCCUGUUACUGAUGAAGCUUUGGCCUGCAUCUGUCUUUUUCAAAUCUCAGAUUCAAUAUUAUGCUUAUAUACUCAACAUUAUUAUUCAUGAAAUUUGACCAUUAUUCCAAGUAUCUUAUAUAUAGAUAUGGUGUUCUU